AGGUGACCCCCGCAACCAGUGAGAGUGAUGUGACUGAUAAUGGCGCUGUCUUGUCGUGGAUUUUUCAGAGUGUUAUGGAGGAGGAGGGCCUGUCUCUUGCCAAGGUGACCCCGGCAAGCAGUGAAUGCGGUACAUAUUCUGGAAUCAGCCUCUUCCUGAGAUAAAACUCUAGAUGGUAAUGCAGGUGGGGCAUCCUUGCAAUCCUCAGUCUGACGAGCCGCCCUGAUUGGGUUGUGGGGGUGUGCGGUGGACCAGAGAAUUCCCAGGUGACAAAGUGUCCAUGUGUCUACAGUCCUAGGAAGGCAUUGUACUCCCUGUGUGUGGUGUGGGUAUGUGUGUGUGAGGCUUGGGGUUGCGGUGACUUUUGUGGCUCUAUGUGGUAUGAUUGUGUGUGUUUUUGUGUGGUAGAUAGGGAGAGUCAGACACAAAAAGAGAGAGGCAGACAGGGAGCGGGAGAGAUGGAAAGAGUGAGAGAGAGAUUGCAUAUUUUUCCAGGAGGUGUAUAUCACUGCCACUGCCCAAUGGCCAUUGUCCACAUUCAAAAUAAAAAAGAAAGAAGAAAGAAAGAUAGAAAGAAAGAAAGAAAGAAAGAAAGAAAGAAAGAAAGAAAGAAAAAAGGAAGAAAGAAAGAAAGAAAGAAAGAAAGAAAGAAAGAAAGAAAAGAAAAGAAAAGAAAAGAAAAGAAAAAGAAAGAUAAUAAGAAUAGAAAAGAGAAGAUAAAGAAAUCUCGUCACAGGGCACACAUUAUAGCCCUAUUACCACGGGAAGCCAAGCGGUUGCCCUCAGUUCAUGCCUGGGAACCAAAUGCCUCCAUAUGCUCUAACCCCAUUCAUAGCGAGCAAUACUCCCCGAGUCAUUCUGCUGCAGAUGUGAGGUGAGAGGCACAACCUGGAGCACAUUUCUCUCUUCUCCUCACCACAUCCCUUUACUGGGACCAGAGCAAGACCUGCACUUGGCUCCAUGGGAGACAGGCCCAUAUGCAGAUGCCAGGAGACCCUCGCUGGCUGACGGGAUUUCUAGAGGCCUGUGUGAAGGCUGCUGGGCUGGCAGCACACACUGGCUCUCAUGGUCCCUCUGAUCUGGUCUCCUGGGACUGACCGGGCCCAGGACAGAGGCUCUGGGAAGCAGGGCCAGGGUCUUUGCUGCUGUCAGAUCCCACAGACAGCGAUGGGCCUGGUCCCCACAUUGUGGUCACGGCCCACCCUCGGACCUUCCAUCCAUCUGCUCGGUGCCUCCCCUAGUCCUUCCAGGUCUCACUGUCUUUGGUGAACACUGCAGGUACUGGUGUUUAUGUGGCCACACCAGCUGGAGAAUGCCCAUCACCCCACUGACAGACUAGGGGAAUUCAGAAAAGUACCAUUACCUCUACUGUCACAUUCAUCUCCUCUCUGGGCUAGGACACUUAUGGGCUGUCAUCAAUAGGAAGUAUGUCUCAAGUGCCCAAGAUGAGCCCAGGCACGGGGCAGUCACUUGAUUGCCCAGCUGAUGGUCACUCUCAUGGCCCAGCAUCACCCCAGGCCUGUGGCAGCCACCUCCAUGUUAGCUGCAUUGGCUCAUUGAUCAACUGAUUGACUAGGGAGCGUGUCAGUAAACCCAUGAUCGUUCUUCCACUGUUCCCAUUGCAGAGAACAGUCCAGUUGUUGGAGGUGACAGGAGAGGGGAAAUAAGAAAUUAAUGAUUCAGGGAGAGAGGAGGGAGGGUAGCAACAGGGAGCAGAGGAAGGUAGGAAAUCAUGGGGACAGAAAGUCAUGGGCACCACCGUGGCUGCCUCUUGAAAGAAUGGGCUGACAGACACUGCUUCAUGGUCCCAGUUAUGACAUAUGAGGGCUGGGAAGGGCCCAGAGACCCUGGAUUCCUUUCUCAUUAGUGAGGUAAGGGGAUCACGGCCCCAUGGGUGGUGAGGUGGGGGGACUGCGGAGCUGAGGGCAGCAUUGAGUUUUGGUUGGGGACAUAAUCCCAGAGGCAGUGGCCUGAGUCCUCACAUCACCCUGAUUGUCCCCUCUCCUUGCUCAAGACCAGGCCAUGACAAUGCCCACUGUCAUCCAUAAGGAAGAUGGCUUCACAGGUUGUGAGGACUCAGACCCAUAGAUCCACCAUCCGCAUGUAAAUUAUUUCCUCUUUCAUUUUUAUACUCCUUUUUUUUUAUUAAAGAUUUUAUUUAUUUAUUCGACAG
Molecule: long non-coding RNA, 2173 nt
Organism: Ailuropoda melanoleuca (giant panda)
Lineage: Eukaryota; Metazoa; Chordata; Mammalia; Carnivora; Ursidae
Exons: 3
Source: RefSeq, a predicted model, not a curated record